Molecule: ribosomal RNA, 585 nt
Filed under: Salmonella enterica
Lineage: Bacteria; Pseudomonadati; Pseudomonadota; Gammaproteobacteria; Enterobacterales; Enterobacteriaceae
Description: partial 23S ribosomal RNA
Rfam family: Bacterial large subunit ribosomal RNA
Source: RNAcentral
CUUAUAUUCUGUAGCAAGGUUAACCGAAUAGGGGAGCCGGAGGGAAACCGAGUCUUAAUUGGGCGUUAAGUUGCAGGGUAUAGACCCGAAACCCGGUGAUCUAGCCAUGGGCAGGUUGAAGGUUGGGUAACACUAACUGGAGGACCGAACCGACUAAUGUUGAAAAAUUAGCGGAUGACCUGUGGCUGGGGGUGAAAGGCCAAUCAAACCGGGAGAUAGCUGGUUCUCCCCGAAAGCUAUUUAGGUAGCGCCUCGUGAAUUCAUCUCCGGGGGUAGAGCACUGUUUCGGCUAGGGGGCCAUCCCGGCUUACCAACCCGAUGCAAACUGCGAAUACCGGAGAAUGUUAUCACGGGAGACACACGGCGGGUGCUAACGUCCGUCGUGAAGAGGGAAACAACCCAGACCGCCAGCUAAGGUCCCAAAGUCAUGGUUAAGUGGGAAACGAUGUGGGAAGGCCCAGACAGCCAGGAUGUUGGCUUAGAAGCAGCCAUCAUUUAAAGAAAGCGUAAUAGCUCACUGGUCGAGUCGGCCUGCGCGGAAGAUGUAACGGGGCUAAACCAUGCACCGAAGCUGCGGCAGCGACA